UGCUUCAUUAAGGCCCAUUAGAAACUGAAACACCUUAUUCUCAUCAUUUUCCUGUAUUAUACCAUCUUUGGCAGCACAAACACAUCUUUGUCCAUGAUUUGUACACAUUGAUUCUAAUUCAUCCCACAGACCUUUAAGUUUAUUAAAAUAUGAAACUACAUCUAGAGACCUUUGAGAGGUGUGAGAAAGCUCUCUUUUUAAUUCAAAAAUUUUGGUCCUGUUGGCAAUGCCAUAUCUGGCCUGAAGCUGGGACCAUAUACUCUGUGCAGUAUCAUAAUACUGCACACUUUCAGCAAUUUGAGGGG
Molecule: long non-coding RNA, 305 nt
Filed under: Nicotiana benthamiana
Lineage: Eukaryota; Viridiplantae; Streptophyta; Magnoliopsida; Solanales; Solanaceae
Description: long non-coding RNA (NBEN_LNC013017)
Source: RNAcentral